RNAcentral lists this unclassified non-coding RNA (309 nucleotides) under plant metagenome. Its description in RNAcentral is "partial contains 5.8S ribosomal RNA, internal transcribed spacer 2, and large subunit ribosomal RNA". The stretch from base 1 to 105 matches the Rfam family "5.8S ribosomal RNA", at positions 50 to 154 of the family's 154-position model. The record is from RNAcentral.
GAAAUGCGAUAAGUAGUGUGAAUUGCAGAAUUCAGUGAAUCAUCGAAUCUUUGAACGCACAUUGCGCCCCUCGGUAUUCCGUGGGGCAUGCCUGUUCGAGCGUCAUCUACACCCUCAAGCUCUGCUUGGUGUUGGGCGUCUGUCCCGCCUCCUUCGCGCGCGGACUCGCCCCAAAUCCAUUGGCGGCGGCCCUUGCCUCCCUCUCGCGCAGCACAUUGCGCUUCUCGAGGCGCGGGGACCGCGUCCAGCAAGCAACCGUCACACCGUCUUUGACCUCGGAUCAGGUAGGGAUACCCGCUGAACUUAAGC